GACGCUGGCGGCAGGCUUAACACAUGCAAGUCGAACGAAGUCUUCGGACUUAGUGGCAGACGGGUGAGUAACGCGUGGGAACCUACCCUUUGGUACGGAACAACAGUUGGAAACGACUGCUAAUACCGUAUGAGCCCUACGGGGGAAAGAUUUAUCGCCAAAGGAUGGGCCCGCGUUGGAUUAGCUAGUUGGUGGGGUAAAAGCCUACCAAGGCGACGAUCCAUAGCUGGUCUGAGAGGAUGAUCAGCCACACUGGGACUGAGACACGGCCCAGACUCCUACGGGAGGCAGCAGUGGGGAAUAUUGGACAAUGGGGGCAACCCUGAUCCAGCCAUGCCGCGUGAGUGAUGAAGGCCCUAGGGUUGUAAAGCUCUUUCAGCGAGGAGGAUAAUGACGUUACUCGCAGAAGAAGCCCCGGCUAACUUCGUGCCAGCAGCCGCGGUAAUACGAAGGGGGCUAGCGUUGUUCGGAAUCACUGGGCGUAAAGCGCACGUAGGCGGACUUUUAAGUCAGGGGUGAAAUCCCGGGGCUNAACCCCGNACUGCUUUGAUCUGGAAGUCUGAGUCCAAAAAGGUGAGU
Molecule: ribosomal RNA, 579 nt
Filed under: marine bacterium SE55
Lineage: Bacteria; Pseudomonadati; Pseudomonadota; Alphaproteobacteria; Hyphomicrobiales
Description: bacterial SSU rRNA
Rfam family: Bacterial small subunit ribosomal RNA
Source: RNAcentral